GAAAUGCGAUAAGUAAUGUGAAUUGCAGAAUUCAGUGAAUCAUCGAAUCUUUGAACGCACAUUGCGCCCCCUGGUAUUCCGGGGGGCAUGCCUGUUCGAGCGUCAUUUCACCACUCAAGCCUCGCUUGGUAUUGGGCGACGCGGUCCGCCGCGCGCCUCAAAUCGACCGGCUGGGUCUUCUGUCCCCACAGCGUUGUGGAAACUAUUCGCUAAAGGGUGCUCUGGAGGCUACGCCGUAAAACAACCCCAUUUCUAAGGUUGACCUCGGAUCAGGUAGGGAUACCCGCUGAACUUAAGC
Molecule: unclassified non-coding RNA, 298 nt
Filed under: plant metagenome
Description: partial contains 5.8S ribosomal RNA, internal transcribed spacer 2, and large subunit ribosomal RNA
Rfam family: 5.8S ribosomal RNA (bases 1-105)
Source: RNAcentral